CUGGCGGCAGGCCUAACACAUGCAAGUCGAGCGCUCACUUCGGUGGGAGCGGCGGACGGGUUAGUAACGCGUGGGAAUAUACCCGGUACUAAGGAAUAGCCUUUGGAAACGAAGAGUAAUACCUUAUACGCCCUUCGGGGGAAAGAUUUAUCGGUAUCGGAUUAGCCCGCGUAAGAUUAGAUAGUUGGUGGGGUAAUGGCCUACCAAGUCUACGAUCUUUAGCUGGUUUUAGAGGAUGAUCAGCAACACUGGGACUGAGACACGGCCCAGACUCCUACGGGAGGCAGCAGUGGGGAAUCUUAGACAAUGGGCGCAAGCCUGAUCUAGCCAUGCCGCGUGUGUGAUGAAGGCCCUAGGGUCGUAAAGCACUUUCGCCAGAGAUGAUAAUGACAGUAUCUGGUAAAGAAACCCCGGCUAACUCCGUGCCAGCAGCCGCGGUAAUACGGAGGGGGUUAGCGUUGUUCGGAAUUACUGGGCGUAAAGCGCACGUAGGCGGAUUAGUAAGUUAGAGGUGAAAUCCCAGGGCUCAACCCUGGAACUGCCUUUAAUACUGCUAGUCUUGAGUUCGAGAGAGGUAAGUGGAAUUCCGAGUGUAGAGGUGAAAUUCGUAGAUAUUCGGAGGAACACCAGUGGCGAAAGCGGCUUACUGGCUCGAUACUGACGCUGAGGUGCGAAAGUGUGGGGAGCAAACAGGAUUAGAUACCCUGGUAGUCCACACCGUAAACGAUGAAUGCCAGACGUCAGCAAGUAUACUUGUUGGUGUCACACCUAACGGAUUAAGCAUUCCGCCUGGGGAGUACGGUCGCAAGAUUAAAACUCAAAGGAAUUGACGGGGGCCCGCACAAGCGGUGGAGCAUGUGGUUU
Molecule: ribosomal RNA, 864 nt
Filed under: uncultured marine bacterium
Lineage: Bacteria
Description: bacterial SSU rRNA
Rfam family: Bacterial small subunit ribosomal RNA
Source: RNAcentral